This 252-nucleotide ribosomal RNA is filed under the name uncultured bacterium. RNAcentral's name for it is "partial 16S ribosomal RNA". It matches the Rfam family "Bacterial small subunit ribosomal RNA", at positions 524 to 775 of the family's 1533-position model. The record is from RNAcentral.
UACGGAGGGUGCAAGCGUUAUCCGGAUUCACUGGGUUUAAAGGGUGCGUAGGUGGGCAAGUAAGUCAGUGGUGAAAUCUCCGGGCUUAACCCGGAAACUGCCAUUGAUACUAUUUGUCUUGAAUACUGUGGAGGUCAGCGGAAUAUGUCAUGUAGCGGUGAAAUGCUUAGAUAUGACAUAGAACACCAAUUGCGAAGGCAGCUGGCUACACAAAUAUUGACACUGAGGCACGAAAGCGUGGGGAUCAACAGG